RNAcentral lists this transfer RNA (77 nucleotides) under Alphaproteobacteria bacterium. RNAcentral describes it as "tRNA-Val". It matches the Rfam family "tRNA". Rfam says of the family: Transfer RNA (tRNA) molecules are approximately 80 nucleotides in length. Lineage: Bacteria; Pseudomonadati; Pseudomonadota; Alphaproteobacteria. The record is from RNAcentral. RNAcentral also lists the same sequence under 3 other names.
GGGCGAUUAGCUCAGUUGGUUAGAGCGCUACGUUGACAUCGUAGAGGUCGGAAGUUCGAGUCUUCUAUCGCCCACCA